This 386-nucleotide ribosomal RNA is filed under the name uncultured bacterium. RNAcentral describes it as "bacterial SSU rRNA". It matches the Rfam family "Bacterial small subunit ribosomal RNA", at positions 29 to 416 of the family's 1533-position model. The record is from RNAcentral.
AUUGAACGCUGGCGGCAUGCCUUACACAUGCAAGUCGAACGGCAGCACGGGAGCAAUCCUGGUGGCGAGUGGCGAACGGGUGAGUAAUAUAUCGGAACGUGCCCGGUCGUGGGGAUAACGUAGCGAAAGCUACGCUAAUACCGCAUACGAUCUACGGAUGAAAGCGGGGGAUCGCAAGACCUCGCGCGAUUGGAGCGGCCGAUAUCAGAUUAGGUAGUUGGUGAGGUAAAGGCUCACCAAGCCAACGAUCUGUAGCUGGUCUGAGAGGACGACCAGCCACACUGGGACUGAGACACGGCCCAGACUCCUACGGGAGGCAGCAGUGGGGAAUUUUGGGACAAUGGGCGCAAGCCUGAUCCAGCAAUGCCGCGUGCAGGAUGAAGGCC